RNAcentral lists this long non-coding RNA (382 nucleotides) under Musa acuminata (dwarf banana). RNAcentral's name for it is "long non-coding RNA (MACU_LNC002072)". Lineage: Eukaryota; Viridiplantae; Streptophyta; Magnoliopsida; Zingiberales; Musaceae. The record is from RNAcentral.
CCAAUUGAGACCUAAAACAAUCUCAAAUUAAAAUUAACAGAAAAUUUGACCAGAUCCAAAACAAAGCAACUAUAUCAAAUACACCUCAGAAGCAUAAAACAUUGGAAAUGGCAAUCAGCUCUUAUAUCACGGGCGCAUAAAGCAUCAACAGAGAAGAUCCCCUGUCAUGGCACAUCCAAAUUAUAACAGAAAUUUUACAGGUAUCAAUCACACUUAGAUCAUGAAUUUUACAGGUGCUUUUCAACAGAGGGAUUGGGUAGAACAGUCUCAAGAGAAAGGUUGGAUCGUCAUUAGCUGCUGUCUUAAUCUUCCGAGACACAUGGCAGAUGUGAAGAUCACAGUGCCUCACUACAUUGCCAUCUCAGCUUGCAAUGCUGCAAGU